This 72-nucleotide transfer RNA is filed under the name Anaerolinea sp. Its description in RNAcentral is "tRNA-Arg". It matches the Rfam family "tRNA". Rfam says of the family: Transfer RNA (tRNA) molecules are approximately 80 nucleotides in length. RNAcentral also lists the same sequence under 1 other name. Lineage: Bacteria; Bacillati; Chloroflexota; Anaerolineae; Anaerolineales; Anaerolineaceae. The record is from RNAcentral.
GCCCCUGUAGCUCAGUGGAUAGAGCGUCGGCCUCCGAAGCCGGAAGCCCGUGUUCGAGUCACGGCAGGGGCA